Molecule: long non-coding RNA, 936 nt
Filed under: Bos indicus x Bos taurus (hybrid cattle)
Lineage: Eukaryota; Metazoa; Chordata; Mammalia; Artiodactyla; Bovidae
Description: lncRNA (ENSBIXG00000007489.1)
Source: RNAcentral
CAGGCGGCCGCCUCUGCAAGGAUCGCCCCCGCUGCGCUCCAUACCUGCUCCUUUGUCACCAGCUGCCGAAGAAUUCAGAAAAUCAAAUUUAUUUCCCGAUUACCGAUUACCGCCGGGACGCCCCUUUGUGCGGUGAGGCCUCUUUAACGGUUGCGAUUCCAGCCCACUCUGUGAAGAAGGCUUUUUAAGGAAAAUGCGCCCCGCUGACUCCUGGCCCCCGUGGGAACUUGCGGGCGAGAUCUUCUCGCAAUAAAGACGCUAACGAGCCCCAAGACGUGGGCUUGUCAAGUGUCCUGCCUGCUAACGGGGAUAAAUAAAUAGGCCUCUUGAGUUCGGAUAGUGUAUUUCCUUUCCCCCCCUUAGGAAUGAAUGGAUGGAUGUUGACUCCACGGCUUGCCAGCCCAGCGCUGCCCUCAGCCUGCGGGUAAAUCCAAUUUCAGCCUCUGAGUGCUCAGCGCUAUCAGCACCUCGCCACUGCCGGAAGCCACAGGCCAAUCUGAAAAAGUUCCUCUUCCACCGGAUUCUCAGGUGUCUUAGGCACCUGAAGAUAAACGAUGGGAGCCAGUGGUCAUGGCGGUGAAUUGGAUACCUACACCAGACAAAGCCUGAGAGGCGUAAUCAAAUAAGGGAACCACUUGAACUGAACUCCCAGCAGGAGCAGGAGGGAGGCCUGGAGAGGUUACAGGUACUUUUUAUCCAGCCUCACAGGAGAGAACCAACUUCCUGCUGCUAGAAAUUUGUCUGCAAUUUUUUUCCUCAUUCAGACAGAGAGCUGGGGUCCAGGAGACACUGGGUUGAUAUGAUAACUUGAUUAAGGCCGGGACAGAUGACAUGGGAGCACCAAGUCAGCUCAAAGGAAUCUGUGCUCUCCUCUUUAACCUCUCCUUGGGAGCCUACAAAUUAUAUCUAUUAAUGUAUCAGCCCCCUGGCAUCACA